UAGGCCUAACACAUGCAAGUCGAACGGCAGCACAGAGGAGCUUGCUCCUUGGGUGGCGAGUGGCGGACGGGUGAGGAAUACAUCGGAAUCUACUCUGUCGUGGGGGAUAACGUAGGGAAACUUACGCUAAUACCGCAUACGACCUACGGGUGAAAGCAGGGGAUCUUCGGACCUUGCGCGAUUGAAUGAGCCGAUGUCGGAUUAGCUAGUUGGCGGGGUAAAGGCCCACCAAGGCGACGAUCCGUAGCUGGUCUGAGAGGAUGAUCAGCCACACUGGAACUGAGACACGGUCCAGACUCCUACGGGAGGCAGCAGUGGGGAAUAUUGGACAAUGGGCGCAAGCCUGAUCCAGCCAUACCGCGUGGGUGAAGAAGGCCUUCGGGUUGUAAAGCCCUUUUGUUGGGAAAGAAAUCCAUCUGGUUAAUACCCGGAUGGGAUGACGGUACCCAAAGAAUAAGCACCGGCUAACUUCGUGCCAGCAGCCGCGGUAAUACGAAGGGUGCAAGCGUUACUCGGAAUUACUGGGCGUAAAGCGUGCGUAGGUGGUCGUUUAAGUCCGUUGUGAAAGCCCUGGGCUCAACCUGGGAACUGCAGUGGAUACUGGGCGACUAGAAUGUGGUAGAGGGUAGCGGAAUUCCUGGUGUAGCAGUGAAAUGCGUAGAGAUCAGGAGGAACAUCCAUGGCGAAGGCAGCUACCUGGACCAACAUUGACACUGAGGCACGAAAGCG
RNAcentral lists this ribosomal RNA (729 nucleotides) under Stenotrophomonas sp. F802. Its description in RNAcentral is "bacterial SSU rRNA". It matches the Rfam family "Bacterial small subunit ribosomal RNA", at positions 43 to 761 of the family's 1533-position model. The record is from RNAcentral. Lineage: Bacteria; Pseudomonadati; Pseudomonadota; Gammaproteobacteria; Lysobacterales; Lysobacteraceae.